RNAcentral lists this transfer RNA (59 nucleotides) under Orthotrichia sp. XG-2021. Its description in RNAcentral is "tRNA-Ser". Lineage: Eukaryota; Metazoa; Arthropoda; Insecta; Trichoptera; Hydroptilidae. The record is from RNAcentral.
AAAGUAAAAAAUAAUAUAAGCUGCUAACUUAUAAAAUAGUGAACAUCAUUAUUACUUUU